GCCGAAGACCAAAUCAGUCCCGAAUGUGCCUAGUCUCAUCACAUCACGGAAGCAAAACAGAGUUGAGCCUAGAUAGUGCUUGUAUGGGUGACCAGAGUGCGCAAAACACAGAUGUUAUAGGCU
Molecule: ribosomal RNA, 123 nt
Filed under: Petromyzon marinus (sea lamprey)
Lineage: Eukaryota; Metazoa; Chordata; Hyperoartia; Petromyzontiformes; Petromyzontidae
Source: RNAcentral